AGCAACCUACUUGCCACCUGGGGAGGUGCAGCGUGGCUUGACUGGAUAGUAGCCUCUUUGGGUUUUGCUUCAAACCCAACCUAUUUGAAGCUCAGCAGCGAUCUGAACUAUAUCCUGGGUUCCAGAAAAGGCAGAGGUUCUUACCGAAAGCAGGUAAGUGUCUUGUCUGUCUGCAUCAAGCUCAGAGUUGGUAGGAAAAGACUCUUCUAGCAAAUAAACCAUUGGGGGAAAGGGGAAGAGCAGCCAGUGGGACAGGGACACUCAUCCCAUUUGUUGGAUAGAGUCAGAAGGGGUGGGCACGAGGAAGUGGCCGCCCCUGACCAUGGGGUAUCCCAGGCAACGUCCAAGCCAGGAAGCAAGUGAUUUUCUUGGCAAUAAGUCAAGAACUGGCUCCUGGCUACUAGUGUGAGGGGCUCAUUCCUGGGAACACUCACCCUUGCUCUGCUAAUAAGAGGAAGUAGGCGGGGACGUGGUCAUCACCCUGAGGCCCCCAACCCAGCUCCUCACAGUGGGAAGAAACGAGCACAGCUCUACAGUGGAGCCAGCAGUCUCGUGACAAG
Molecule: small RNA, 560 nt
Filed under: Pan troglodytes (chimpanzee)
Lineage: Eukaryota; Metazoa; Chordata; Mammalia; Primates; Hominidae
Description: processed transcript
Source: RNAcentral